CGGGGCUCGGUUACCGUGCUCGUCUCGGCCCUGCUGGAGAAUAGGGCACACGGCGCUGCCGCCCACCAGACUGUCACUGUACUGGCCCAGAAGGAGGAUAUUUCGGCUCCGACGUGCACAGUCCUGCCAGGAGCUGACGUAGAUUGCGGUGACUACCUCACCGAGGACGACUGUAAUGACCGGUUCCGGACAGUGGAAUUUGGGGUCUCCGACACCGGAUCAGGUCUACAAGAGGUGCACAUGUUCCCCAGCGGGGUGG
Molecule: long non-coding RNA, 259 nt
Organism: Amphibalanus amphitrite
Lineage: Eukaryota; Metazoa; Arthropoda; Thecostraca; Balanomorpha; Balanidae
Exons: 3
Source: RefSeq, a predicted model, not a curated record